Long non-coding RNA from Protopterus annectens (West African lungfish), 832 nucleotides. RefSeq lists it as uncharacterized. The record is from RefSeq and is a predicted model, not a curated record. Lineage: Eukaryota; Metazoa; Chordata; Ceratodontiformes; Protopteridae. The transcript has 5 exons.
AUUUCAGCUGAUGAAGACCAUGCCAAAAAAUUGUGCAUAGAGGGUAUGCACAUGCUUGAGGAGCAGUGGAUGGAGAGAGGCCCAUCAACAUCAGGCCACCUAAGACACACAUCAGGUUCUGCUUUAUGUUGGAUGCUACAUUCCCCAAGCAGGGAGGACAGACCUGAUGAUAAAGACUGUGCCAGGAAUUGGGCAUUGUGCAUCAAGUGAAUGCACAGGCCGGAGGAACAGUGGAGGGAGAGAGAUCAUGGGAUCCAUGGCUGCUCUCCUAGCAGAAGCCAGAGAUGAGAAUAUGUGAGACCACUGCUUGAGUACUCAUAGACUGAGGAUGAUAGCCAUAAUGGGGUUGAUGAUGACAGUGAGGACAGAUCUGGACCUGCACAUCCCAUCAUUCCAGCAGCACCCUGCAGGAGAUGUCGACCACCAGCAAAGGCACACAAUUUUGUGAACCAGUUCAGGGAGGUUAUGAGUGAUAUCUUUUGGACUCAGAUGAGGGACCUGAUGUGGACUUUUUUCCAUGACAUUGUGAAGGCCAUCAGUGAAUAAUUUAGGGAACUACCCUACAAGAUCAUUUGUGAUGUUCUGCUCUGUCAGUGUGGGCCCUCAGGACUGUAUGUAUUGUCUGUGUGAUCCACCUGUGUACUGCCGCCACCAUGGUAUAUACCAUAUGAACAAUUGUAUUGUAUAGGCACACUUGUCCAUGCAUAGCAUAUUGUUGUCAUGCUUAGGUGAUACACAUCCAAUGGUACAAUGCAGAUGUCAUGUGGCAUUUUGUAUUAUGUUGCACCUGGAACAUGCCAAAAAUUAUGCCAUUAAAAAUACACUACUCUUG